ACUCCUGCGGGAGGCAGCAGUGGGGAAUUUUGGACAAUGGGCGAAAGCCUGAUCCAGCCAUGCCGCGUGCAGGAUGAAGGCCUUCGGGUUGUAAACUGCUUUUGUACGGAACGAAACGGCCUUUUCUAAUAAAGAGGGCUAAUGACGGUACCGUAAGAAUAAGCACCGGCUAACUACGUGCCAGCAGCCGCGGUAAUACGUAGGGUGCAAGCGUUAAUCGGAAUUACUGGGCGUAAAGCGUGCGCAGGCGGUUAUGUAAGACAGUUGUGAAAUCCCCGGGCUCAACCUGGGAACUGCAUCUGUGACUGCAUAGCUAGAGUACGGUAGAGGGGGAUGGAAUUCCGCGUGUAGCAGUGAAAUGCGUAGAUAUGCGGAGGAACACCGAUGGCGAAGGCAAUCCCCUGGACCUGUACUGACGCUCAUGCACGAAAGCGUGGGGAUCAAACAGGAUUAGAAACCCCGGUAGUCCCAUG
Molecule: ribosomal RNA, 473 nt
Filed under: uncultured organism
Description: partial 16S ribosomal RNA
Rfam family: Bacterial small subunit ribosomal RNA
Source: RNAcentral